This 425-nucleotide ribosomal RNA is filed under the name uncultured bacterium. RNAcentral describes it as "bacterial SSU rRNA". It matches the Rfam family "Bacterial small subunit ribosomal RNA", at positions 45 to 507 of the family's 1533-position model. The record is from RNAcentral.
UGCCUAACACAUGCAAGUCGAACGGGAUCCUAGCUUGCUAGGUGAGAGUGGCGGACGGGUGAGUAACACGUGGGAAUCUGCCUUUUGGUUCGGGAUAACCGCGGGAAACUGCGGCUAAUACCGAAUGCCCUCGAGAGAGGAAAGAUUUAUCGCCAGAAGAGGAGCCCGCGUCCGAUUAGGUAGUUGGUGGGGUAAAGGCCUACCAAGCCGACGAUCGGUAGCUGGUCUGAGAGGAUGAUCAGCCACACUGGGGACUGAGAUACGGCCCAGACUCCUACGGGAGGCAGCAGUGGGGAAUAUUGGACAAUGGGGGCAACCCUGAUCCAGCAAUGCCGCGUGAGUGAUGAAGGCCUUAGGGUUGUAAAGCUCUUUUGCCAGGGAAGAUGAUGACUGUACCUGGAGAAUAAGCCCCGGCUAACUUCGUG